GCCUUAAAAGCUCAGAGUAGAGCGCCAGGUCUUGUAAACCAGGAGGGAGGGUUAAAGUCCCUAUUGAGGCU
RNAcentral lists this transfer RNA (71 nucleotides) under Echinocardium cordatum (sea potato). Its description in RNAcentral is "transfer RNA-Thr". It matches the Rfam family "tRNA". Rfam says of the family: Transfer RNA (tRNA) molecules are approximately 80 nucleotides in length. Their secondary structure includes four short double-helical elements and three loops (D, anti-codon, and T loops). Lineage: Eukaryota; Metazoa; Echinodermata; Echinoidea; Spatangoida; Loveniidae. The record is from RNAcentral.